RNAcentral lists this ribosomal RNA (468 nucleotides) under uncultured bacterium. Its description in RNAcentral is "partial 16S ribosomal RNA". It matches the Rfam family "Bacterial small subunit ribosomal RNA", at positions 28 to 507 of the family's 1533-position model. The record is from RNAcentral.
GACGAACGCUGGCGGCGUGCUUAACACAUGCAAGUCGAACGGAAAGGCCCUGCUUUUGUGGGGUGCUCGAGUGGCGAACGGGUGAGUAACACGUGAGUAACCUGCCCUUGACUUUGGGAUAACUUCAGGAAACUGGGGCUAAUACCGGAUAGGAGCUCCUGCUGCAUGGUGGGGGUUGGAAAGUUUCGGCGGUUGGGGAUGGACUCGCGGCUUAUCAGCUUGUUGGUGGGGUAGUGGCUUACCAAGGCUUUGACGGGUAGCCGGCCUGAGAGGGUGACCGGCCACAUUGGGACGGAGAUACGGCCCAGACUCCUACGGGAGGAAGCAGUGGGGAAUAUUGCACAAUGGGCGGAAGCCUGAUGCAGCAACGCCGCGUGCGGGAUGACGGCCUUCGGGUUGUAAACCGCUUUCGCCUGUGACGAAGCGUGAGUGACGGUAAUGGGUAAAGAAGCACCGGCUAACUACGUG